CCUGCUCAGUUCUGCUGAAAAGAGAAGGGUCCGGCUGCAGGUCGCAGACUUGGCCUUCCACGCCUCCUGCCUUCCACAGUCCGCCCCACAACCGCCUAUAGUCCGUAGAAAGAGAAGAAGAGCUGCUGUACAGUUUUUCCAAUUCGAAAAAGAAAAGGAGCUGAAAACGUUUUCCGACACGGAACAAUGGCACAACAGAACCAGGUUUCCAACGGACCAUUUUGUGGUGUCUCUGUAUUUCAUCCUCGAGGCCCCCUUCAAUUUUAAUGAGUUGUGUCUCAACUUUAGUCCUCUCUUCUUUCAUUGUAGUAUUUGUAGAGGGAGGAUUAUAUCUGGUUGCUGGUUCCCAUUUUUGUCACCUUCCACAAUUUGUGUUGGAUAUUUGUGUUAUGUUUAUUUUAUUAUAUAUAUUUUUUUUUAAUUUCAACAUACUGUCCAUAGUGGUUUUGAAGUUCCAGAAAUGCCUACCUUUCAAAAUCCAGAUCAUUUAAAUGUAUGUUUAUAAUGGUUUGCAUAAAUAUUUUUGUAACAUUAAACUCCUUUUAACAACGUGACUCUGCUCAGUCCUCUUUAGAAUGACAUGCUGGCUUUGUGGAAGAGCUGGUGUAGAAUGUUACUUGAGAACUCCAGCACCAAGGGGUUUAGACUUUAUUGAGCCAUUAAUGAGAAGACAGAGUAAAGACUUGGCACUACAUCUGAAAUAAACAAAUGUCUUGCUAUUCUGUUCCAUAGCACUACAUUCUGCAGAUUUCAGAUUUUUUCUUUUAGAAGAAACGUCAGCGUUCCUUCUCCAACAUCCAGCACAGGGCACUGAUGAGCAGCAGCAUGGAAUCCUUCAGCAUUUCACCGAGGCACAGAAGUGGUGUGCUGAGAACAUUUCUGUGUUCAGAGGGCGAAUCUCACUCCCUGCAUUACUGUCAAUGGACAAAGACGACACUGAGGAGGCCCUUCAGAAAUUUGAUUUGCUAUCUGAAUUUCCAGAAGAAGAGGAGAGGGAAUAUGUCUUUAGACAUAUUUUUUUUCACAUAUGGAAGACAUGCAUCUGUUUUUAGAUUAACGUGAGAGGAAAAAGGAAAAUGACUGAGUUUUGUGAGAAAAUGUAACAAACAUACAUGUCCCUCAUUGUUCAGUUACAACCUACAAUUCUUGUUCUAUAUUUUAUAUAUUCUUUAACUUUUUUGUAAUAAAUGUUGCAAACCAACUUCA
Long non-coding RNA from Erpetoichthys calabaricus (reedfish), 1206 nucleotides. RefSeq lists it as uncharacterized. The transcript has 4 exons. The record is from RefSeq and is a predicted model, not a curated record. Lineage: Eukaryota; Metazoa; Chordata; Cladistia; Polypteriformes; Polypteridae.